This 441-nucleotide long non-coding RNA is filed under the name Homo sapiens (human). RNAcentral describes it as "HSALNT0015108". The record is from RNAcentral. Lineage: Eukaryota; Metazoa; Chordata; Mammalia; Primates; Hominidae.
UGUCUGGCUUCUUUUUUCUUUCUUUUUUUUGAGACAGAGUUUUCCUCUUGUUGCCCAGGCUGGAGUGCAGUGGUGCGAUCUCAGCUCACAGCAACCUCCGCCUCCCGAGUGCAAACGAUUCUCCUGCCUCAGCCUCCCUAAUAGCUGGGAUUGCAGGCAUGCACCACCACACCUGGCUAAUUUUGUAUGUCUGGCUUCUUUCUCAGCAUUAUGUUUUCAAGGUUCAUCUAUGUUAUAGAAUGUAUCAGUAUUUCAUUCCUUUUUAUGGGCAAAUAAUAUUCCAUUGUGUACAUAUAUUACAUUUUGUUUAUCCAUCAAUUUAUGGACACAGGUUGUUUUUACUUUUAGCUAUAACAAAUGAUACUGCUAUGAACAUUAGUGCACAAGUUUUUAUGUGAACAUACGUUUUCCAUUCUCUUGGGUAUACAGCUAGGAGUAGAA